GCUGGCUGCGUUACCUUGCAGCGGUAGAGAGAGUUUCUUUCGAUAAAGGACAGGAUCGAAGAGUGAACCGCUGCUACCAUGUUUCCAGCAGCAGCGACGGGUGGCGACUGCAUUUGUCACGGUGAUCUAGGGUUCUGACUUCGAUGAUAGGCGAAGGUUAUGAACUCUGAUGUUGAUGAACUUGUCUUAGAAAGGUAGAUUGGUGUCAUGCAGUCGAACUUAGGGUAGAUCCGCGAUGGUAACGGGUGAUCCUCAGUCUUCCGGCGUGUUAGUUAAAAGAAAGAGCUGAAAAGCUUGAAUAUCACAAACAAAGAGAGCAGAAAUUCACGGAGAAUAAGAAUGAGAAGAAGGAGCUACUGCGUCGCCAAAGUUCCGUAUGGAUUGAUGAAAAUGAACUCGAGAAAAAGAUAUUGAAUGCCAUUAUGGAUGAGUCCUAAGGUAACCAUGCUUUCAACUCGCAUUUUUUA
RNAcentral lists this long non-coding RNA (467 nucleotides) under Helianthus annuus (common sunflower). Its description in RNAcentral is "sRNA HanXRQr2_Chr15g0681211". The record is from RNAcentral. Lineage: Eukaryota; Viridiplantae; Streptophyta; Magnoliopsida; Asterales; Asteraceae.